CAGCAGCCACGGUAAUACAGAGGGUGCAAGCGUUAAUCGGAAUUACUGGGCGUAAAGCGUGCGCAGGCGGUUUGUUAAGACAGAUGUGAAAUCCCCGGGCUCAACCUGGGAACUGCAUUUGUGACUGGCAAGCUAGAGUGUGGCAGAGGGGGGUGGAAUUCCGCGUGUAGCAGUGAAAUGCGUAGAUAUGCGGAGGAACACCGAUGGCGAAGGCAGCCCCCUGGGCCAACACUGACGCUCAUGCACGAAAGCGUGGGGAGCAAACAGGAUUAGAUACCCCCGUAGUCCCUGUCUCUUAUAC
RNAcentral lists this ribosomal RNA (301 nucleotides) under uncultured bacterium. RNAcentral describes it as "partial 16S ribosomal RNA". It matches the Rfam family "Bacterial small subunit ribosomal RNA", at positions 509 to 807 of the family's 1533-position model. The record is from RNAcentral.